Molecule: ribosomal RNA, 497 nt
Filed under: uncultured bacterium
Lineage: Bacteria
Description: partial 16S ribosomal RNA
Rfam family: Bacterial small subunit ribosomal RNA
Source: RNAcentral
GACGAACGCUGGCGGCGUGCCUAAUACAUGCAAGUAGAACGCUGAAGAGAGGAGCUUGCUCUUCUUGGGUGAGUUGCGAACGGGUGAGUAACGCGUAGGUAACCUGCCUUGUAGCGGGGGAUAACUAUUGGAAACGAUAGCUAAUACCGCAUAACAAUGGAUGACACAGGUCAUUUAUUUGAAAGGGGCAAUUGUUCCACUACAAGAUGGACCUGCGUUGUAUUAGCUAGUAGGUGAGGUAAUGGCUCACCUAGGCGACGAUACAUAGCCGAACUGAGAGGGUGAGUAGCCAGACUGGGACGGUGACCCGGCCCAGAGUCAUACGGGAGGCAGCAGUAGGGAAGCUUCGGGCAUGAGGGCAAAACUGAGCGAGAAAGGCCGAGUGAGUGAAGAAGGAUGUCGGAUCGGAAAGCUCGGUCGUAAGUCAAGAAAGGGCGUGAGCGUGGAAAGUUGACAGUGUGACGGUAGCUUACAAGAAAGCAACGGCUAACUACGUG